This 254-nucleotide ribosomal RNA is filed under the name uncultured bacterium. RNAcentral's name for it is "partial 16S ribosomal RNA". It matches the Rfam family "Bacterial small subunit ribosomal RNA", at positions 524 to 776 of the family's 1533-position model. The record is from RNAcentral.
UACGGGGGGAGCAAGCGUUGUUCGGAUUUACUGGGCGUAAAGGGCGCGUAGGCGGCCACCGCAAGUCGGUUGUGAAAUCUCCGGGCUUAACCCGGAAAGGUCAAUCGAUACUGCGGGGCUAGAGUGCAGAAGGGGCAACUGGAAUUCUCGGUGUAGCGGUGAAAUGCGUAGAUAUCGAGAGGAACACCUGCGGCGAAGGCGGGCUGCUGGGCUGACACUGACGCUGAAGCGCGAAAGCUAGGGGAGCGAACGGG